CUAUGAGACAGCUAUUAUUAACUCAGUGAGUCAUGAGGCACUGAGGUAGUGUGACAAGGCUUGCAUAAAAACCUGGUUUGAUUUGUGGUGACUGCUUAGUCCCUGCUGUGAAAUUCUUCACCGACUGUGCACACAACUUCAUCACCAUAAUCUGGCACUGAUUGCAGCAACCAUAUGGAGCACAGCAAUAAGGAAAGGAGACAUUUUGACCAGAGAGAUGAGAGCACUCCUUCCUCUCUGCUCAAAGAUAAAAUGGGAUAAUCACUGUCCCUGCAGAGCAGAGCCUGCAACUACUGGACCAGAGCAGCUUCUUUUUCCCAGUGCUUACGGCAGCGCAGCACCCUCAUAGGUGUCAGGAAAAGCAGAAAGAUGGCUCUCUCUUGGCCCACCAAAAGCAGAAGAGGCAGAGAAGAAGAUUCAACACCAACUGGACAUUUUCCCAGUGCCAUUCAGCGCUGGCUGGUGAUCUACAGGAGUCAGAACAGGGCUGAGAGGUUUCUGGAGAGACCUGAUGGGGUAGGAGCCUCUCAUGCUCAUGCAAGGAUCCAGGAGAACACAGCACGGGUGGACUUGGAGGAGCGGGCUAAGAAGUGGCUUGGGAGGAGAUACCUGAAGAGGUGGCAGCACACAGUGGAGCUGCACCGGUGCCAGCACGACAGGAAACUGCUGUGCCUGGCAAGGGGGUGGCACCAGUGGAGGGAAGGCAGCAGGGUGGUGAUACUGGCUCAGGUGCUGCACCAGCAGCAGCUGAUGGAGAAGGCCUGGAGGGUGUGGAGACAAAGAUACUUGCAAAGCUGUGUGGUGCAGAAUCUUCUGGAGCAGGAAGCCAGGAGCCUCCUGUCUCAGGCCUUUGGGAGGUGGUGGCAGCUCACAGCAUUCCAGUGUAAGGACAAAGGAUCCCGCUGAAUGCAGGGGCUGCCUGCAGCUGCUGCUCCAUUCAGGACACGUGGAGGAUCCAGCUCCUGUCACAACAAAGAGGUGGUCCUGUGCUGCCAAAAAAGAACUCUCUGCUCUUACAAUAAAAGCAGGGCUGCCACUCGGAUGACA
This 1047-nucleotide long non-coding RNA is filed under the name Zonotrichia albicollis (white-throated sparrow). RNAcentral describes it as "lncRNA (ENSZALG00000012215.1)". The record is from RNAcentral. Lineage: Eukaryota; Metazoa; Chordata; Aves; Passeriformes; Passerellidae.